CAGUCGCCGCGGUAAAACGGAGGGCGCGAGCGUUACCCGGAUUUACUGGGCGUAAAGGGCGUGUAGGCGGCCUGGGGCGUCCCAUGUGAAAGGCCACGGCUCAACCGUGGAGGAGCGUGGGAUACGCUCAGGCUAGAGGGUGGGAGAGGGUGGUGGAAUUCCCGGAGUAGCGGUGAAAUGCGCAGAUACCGGGAGGAACGCCGAUGGCGAAGGCAGCCACCUGGUCCACUUCUGACGCUGAGGCACGAAAGCGUGGGGAGCAAACAGGAUUAGAUACCCCGGUAGUCCCUGUCUCUUAUAC
RNAcentral lists this ribosomal RNA (301 nucleotides) under uncultured bacterium. RNAcentral describes it as "partial 16S ribosomal RNA". It matches the Rfam family "Bacterial small subunit ribosomal RNA", at positions 509 to 807 of the family's 1533-position model. The record is from RNAcentral.